CGGUUUAAAUGGCACUGUAGAGGUUGAAGGGGAGAAAGAUGAACAGAUAAUCUUCAAAACCUGUUUCAGCCAGUAGGUACAACCUUGUUUCCUGACCAACCUUUAGUCCAAGAGUUUAACAAGUGAAAACAGUUCAGUGGUUUGAGGGAUAAGAAAGAUUUACACACCCACAAUGUGUACUGACCUAUAAAAUCUAGAGAGAAUCCCGAAACUGCUCUCUGACUUUAUUGCCUCAAUUUUAUCUUGAUCAU
This 251-nucleotide long non-coding RNA is filed under the name Bos taurus (domestic cattle). RNAcentral describes it as "long non-coding RNA NONBTAT027047". The record is from RNAcentral. Lineage: Eukaryota; Metazoa; Chordata; Mammalia; Artiodactyla; Bovidae.